AGCAUCGGCCGGGAAUCGAACCCGGGUCGCCCGCGUGAAAGGCGAGCAUUCUACCACUGAACCACCGAUGC
This is a non-coding RNA of Cordylochernes scorpioides, 71 nucleotides long. The record is from the annotation of a GenBank genome assembly. NCBI's taxonomy places the organism in Eukaryota, Metazoa, Arthropoda, Arachnida, Pseudoscorpiones, Chernetidae.